UACAGGUAAUGACCCUGACCAUUUUGAUACAUCGUCUAUGAAUGAUGUUGUGAUCUCAGAUCCUGAAGGUGGUUCUAAUAAGUGUGGCCUCUUUACUAUUACCGGUGUAUCUCUCGCAUGCAUUUUCCUUAGAAAUUCGUGAAACGCCUUACUGUUUAAGUGUUUGUUGAAGCCUACUGCAGUUAUAAAAGACAGUCAGGCCGUGGUGGAAGUGGGAUGGGAAAAUUUAGUUUAAAGUUCCUUCUGUUUGUCCUGUUGUGGAACAUCUCAAUCGGAUUAUAUGUAAUUACUUAUCUUCUUGAAUUUUUUGCUAUAAAAUUGUAAGCUUGACAAUAGCUAUGUACCUAUCAUACAAUUUAUUAGUUUAGCAGGUUAAUGUUCAACCAUGUUUUUUGCU
This is a long non-coding RNA of Papaver somniferum (opium poppy), 397 nucleotides long. RefSeq lists it as uncharacterized. NCBI's taxonomy places the organism in Eukaryota, Viridiplantae, Streptophyta, Magnoliopsida, Ranunculales, Papaveraceae. The transcript has 3 exons. The record is from RefSeq and is a predicted model, not a curated record.